Molecule: transfer RNA, 86 nt
Filed under: Paradoxia multiseta
Lineage: Eukaryota; Viridiplantae; Chlorophyta; Trebouxiophyceae; Coccomyxaceae
Description: tRNA-Ser
Rfam family: tRNA
About the family: Transfer RNA (tRNA) molecules are approximately 80 nucleotides in length. Their secondary structure includes four short double-helical elements and three loops (D, anti-codon, and T loops). Further hydrogen bonds mediate the characteristic L-shaped molecular structure. tRNAs have two regions of fundamental functional importance: the anti-codon, which is responsible for specific mRNA codon recognition, and the 3' end, to which the tRNAs corresponding amino acid is attached (by aminoacyl-tRNA synthetases). tRNAs cope with the degeneracy of the genetic code in two manners: having more than one tRNA (with a specific anti-codon) for a particular amino acid; and 'wobble' base-pairing, i.e. permitting non-standard base-pairing at the 3rd anti-codon position.
Source: RNAcentral
GGGCAGGUGUCUGAGCGGUUUAAAGUGUAGACUUGGAAAGUCUAUGUGGUAUCAAGCCACCGAGGGUUCGACUCCCUCUCUGCCCG